CGAUAGAGAAAGCUUGCUUUUUCAGGCGUCGACCGGCGCACGGGUGAGUAACGCGUAUCCAACCUGCCAUCACUUGGGGAUAACCUUGCGAAAGUAAGACUAAUACCCAAUGACGUCUCUAGAAGACAUCUGAAAGAGAUUUAAAGAUUUAUCGGUGAUGGAUGGGGAUGCGUCUGAUUAGCUUGUUGGCGGGUAACGGCCCACCAAGGCGACGAUCAGUAGGGGUUCUGAGAGGAAGGUCCCCCACAUUGGAACUGAGACACGGUCCAAACUCCUACGGGAGGCAGCAGUGAGGAAUAUUGGUCAAUGGACGAGAGUCUGAACCAGCCAAGUAGCGUGCAGGAUGACGGCCCUAUGGGUUGUAAACUGCUUUUAUAAGGGAAUAAAGUGAGUCUCGGUGAGACUUUUUGCAUGUACCUUAUGAAUAAGGACCGGCUAAUUCCGUG
RNAcentral lists this ribosomal RNA (446 nucleotides) under uncultured bacterium. Its description in RNAcentral is "bacterial SSU rRNA". It matches the Rfam family "Bacterial small subunit ribosomal RNA", at positions 66 to 507 of the family's 1533-position model. The record is from RNAcentral.